This 1335-nucleotide ribosomal RNA is filed under the name Mycobacterium sp. DWMJ-1289A1. Its description in RNAcentral is "bacterial SSU rRNA". It matches the Rfam family "Bacterial small subunit ribosomal RNA", at positions 82 to 1428 of the family's 1533-position model. Lineage: Bacteria; Bacillati; Actinomycetota; Actinomycetes; Mycobacteriales; Mycobacteriaceae. The record is from RNAcentral.
UCGGGGUACUCGAGUGGCGAACGGGUGAGUAACACGUGGGUGAUCUGCCCUGCACUUUGGGAUAAGCCUGGGAAACUGGGUCUAAUACCGAAUAGGACCGCGCUCUUCAUGGGGGGUGGUGGAAAGCUUUUGCGGUGUGGGAUGGGCCCGCGGCCUAUCAGCUUGUUGGUGGGGUAAUGGCCUACCAAGGCGACGACGGGUAGCCGGCCUGAGAGGGUGACCGGCCACACUGGGACUGAGAUACGGCCCAGACUCCUACGGGAGGCAGCAGUGGGGAAUAUUGCACAAUGGGCGCAAGCCUGAUGCAGCGACGCCGCGUGAGGGAUGACGGCCUUUCGGGUUGUAAACCUCUUUCAAUAGGGACGAAGCGCAAGUGACGGUACCUAUAGAAGAAGGACCGGCCAACUACGUGCCAGCAGCCGCGGUAAUACGUAGGGUCCGAGCGUUGUCCGGAAUUACUGGGCGUAAAGAGCUCGUAGGUGGUUUGUCGCGUUGUUCGUGAAAACUCACAGCUUAACUGUGGGCGUGCGGGCGAUACGGGCAGACUAGAGUACUGCAGGGGAGACUGGAAUUCCUGGUGUAGCGGUGGAAUGCGCAGAUAUCAGGAGGAACACCGGUGGCGAAGGCGGGUCUCUGGGCAGUAACUGACGCUGAGGAGCGAAAGCGUGGGGAGCGAACAGGAUUAGAUACCCUGGUAGUCCACGCCGUAAACGGUGGGUACUAGGUGUGGGUUUCCUUCCUUGGGAUCCGUGCCGUAGCUAACGCAUUAAGUACCCCGCCUGGGGAGUACGGCCGCAAGGCUAAAACUCAAAGGAAUUGACGGGGGCCCGCACAAGCGGCGGAGCAUGUGGAUUAAUUCGAUGCAACGCGAAGAACCUUACCUGGGUUUGACAUGCACAGGACGCCAGUAGAGAUAUUGGUUCCCUUGUGGCCUGUGUGCAGGUGGUGCAUGGCUGUCGUCAGCUCGUGUCGUGAGAUGUUGGGUUAAGUCCCGCAACGAGCGCAACCCUUGUCUCAUGUUGCCAGCACGUUAUGGUGGGGACUCGUGAGAGACUGCCGGGGUCAACUCGGAGGAAGGUGGGGAUGACGUCAAGUCAUCAUGCCCCUUAUGUCCAGGGCUUCACACAUGCUACAAUGGCCGGUACAAAGGGCUGCGAUGCCGUGAGGUGGAGCGAAUCCUUUCAAAGCCGGUCUCAGUUCGGAUCGGGGUCUGCAACUCGACCCCGUGAAGUCGGAGUCGCUAGUAAUCGCAGAUCAGCAACGCUGCGGUGAAUACGUUCCCGGGCCUUGUACACACCGCCCGUCACGUCAUGAAAGUCGGUAACACCCGAAGCC